Molecule: ribosomal RNA, 377 nt
Filed under: uncultured bacterium
Lineage: Bacteria
Description: bacterial SSU rRNA
Rfam family: Bacterial small subunit ribosomal RNA
Source: RNAcentral
UAAUACGGAGGUUCCAAGCGUUGUUCGGAAUUACUGGGCGUAAAGGGGGCGCAGGCGGACUGGUCAGUGGAAAGUGGAAGCCCGGGGCUCAACCUCGGAUGUGCUUUCCAUACUGCCAGUCUUGAGUUCGUGAGAGGAGAGCGGAAUUCAGGGUGUAGCGGUGAAAUGCUUAGAUAUCCUGAGGAACACCGGUGGCGAAAGCGGCUCUCUGGCACGAAACUGACGCUGAGGCCCGAAAGCGUGGGGAGCGAACGGGAUUAGAUACCCCGGUAGUCCACGCCGUAAACGUUGUGCACUAGGUGCAGGAGGUAUCGACCCCUUCUGUGCCGCAGCUAACGCAUUAAGUGCACCGCCUGGGGAGUACGCCCGCAAGGGUG